This 75-nucleotide transfer RNA is filed under the name Pictichromis paccagnellae (royal dottyback). RNAcentral describes it as "tRNA-Lys". It matches the Rfam family "tRNA". Rfam says of the family: Transfer RNA (tRNA) molecules are approximately 80 nucleotides in length. The record is from RNAcentral. Lineage: Eukaryota; Metazoa; Chordata; Actinopteri; Pseudochromidae.
CGCUGUGAAGCUGAAGCAGGAUAUAGCGUUAGCCUUUUAAGCUAGAGAUUGGUGGCUCCUAACUACCCCCAGCGA